GCCUAUCACUGACCCAACUAAUCAUUCCUUUAAUAAUAGAGGUGGUCUUGGGUGCAACCAGUUACACCAUGCAACCGGGUUGCAUCCUCACUUAAAUCUUGAUCUGUACUUUGACUUGAAUCCAAAUUUUGAUCCUAACCGUGCCGGUUGCACGGUGCAACCCAAGUUUUUGUGUUAAUAAUAUGGCCCUUUUUCCAACCUCCUGUUGUACUCCUCCAUCCUCACCCUCUCCUUCUCCUCCUCAUCCUUCCUCUCCUCCUCCAACUGACUGUACACUACAUCCAUUGCUUUUGAAUCUCGUAGUGGAAAUCUGCUCUCAACAUAACAAAAUAUCUUCAUAGAUACAUAAUCAUAUAUAUCCAGUUCCUCCAACUUCUUUGCUUCCAAAUCAUAAACUACUAGCUGUCUCAUCCGCGGCUUGCUAAUUUUCUUUUCGAAAAACAAAAAUCGACCUUGGUUCAACACCAGCGGCAGCGGCCUCUCAACGUCACAUAGAUCGACAGAAACCCAAGGAACCCACGAGCUCUCUUUCAACACCAGAAGCUGAAAAUUGUUAAAAACUCCAAAACCUCGCGACGGCCUCGCGUAGCGAAUCACGCCCAACACGUUGUCGUCAACCUUGACGACAUCGUCCAAUAAGUCCGUCCUCCGCGGCGGUAAACCGAUGCUGGAGAAGCAUUCGCCAGUGAAAUCAAAUGAUACAACGCUACUAAAACGAUGAGAAUAUCUUAUCCAAUAAUAACAUCCAUUAACAUGAACACCGGAUCCAUGAUUGCGGAAGCCAACAACACCAAUUUCAAAAUCACCGAAUUUAAUCUGCUUCCAGGAAUCGGUUUUGAGUGAAAACACCUCACCUUUCACCUCUGUAUCAUUAUAACGAGG
RNAcentral lists this long non-coding RNA (882 nucleotides) under Salvia miltiorrhiza (redroot sage). Its description in RNAcentral is "long non-coding RNA (SMIL_LNC012803)". The record is from RNAcentral. Lineage: Eukaryota; Viridiplantae; Streptophyta; Magnoliopsida; Lamiales; Lamiaceae.